CGGAGGAAAAGAAACUAACAAGGAUUCCCCUAGUAACGGCGAGUGAAGCGGGAAGAGCUCAAAUUUGAAAUCUGGCACUUUCAGUGUCCGAGUUGUAAUCUCGAGAAGUGUUUUCCGCGCUGGACCGCAUAUAAGUCUGUUGGAAUACAGCGUCAUAGUGGUGAGAACCCCGUAAAUGAUGCGGACGCCCAGUGCUUUGUGAUACACUUUCGAAGAGUCGAGUUGUUUGGGAAUGCAGCUCAAAUUGGGUGGUAAAUUCCAUCUAAAGCUAAAUAUUGGCGAGAGACCGAUAGCGAACAAGUACCGUGAGGGAAAGAUGAAAAGCACUUUGGAAAGAGAGUUAACAGUACGUGAAAUUGUUGGAAGGGAAACGCUUGAAGUCAGACUUGCUGUUUGGAAUUCAGCCGCAAGGUGUACUUUUCAGAUAUGCAGGCCAGCAUCAGUUUUUGGGGGUGAAAAAGGGUAUUGAGAAGGUAGCAGUUUCGGCUGUGUUAUAGCUCUUUACUGGAUUCAUCCUUGGGGACUGAGGAACGCAGCUCACUUUUUGCACGACCCUCGGGUUGUUCUGAGCUUAGGAUG
This 579-nucleotide ribosomal RNA is filed under the name Tricholoma matsutake. RNAcentral describes it as "eukaryotic LSU rRNA". It matches the Rfam family "Eukaryotic large subunit ribosomal RNA", at positions 51 to 625 of the family's 3401-position model. The record is from RNAcentral. Lineage: Eukaryota; Fungi; Basidiomycota; Agaricomycetes; Agaricales; Tricholomataceae.